This is a non-coding RNA of Mycoemilia scoparia, 74 nucleotides long. The record is from the annotation of a GenBank genome assembly. NCBI's taxonomy places the organism in Eukaryota, Fungi, Kickxellomycota, Kickxellomycetes, Kickxellales, Kickxellaceae.
GUUUCCGUGGUGUAGUUGGUUAUCACGUCUGUCUAACACACAGACGGUCCCUGGUUCGAACCCGGGCGGAAACA